CUUCUUUCUUAUCAUCUUCGUUCUCUAUUUUCUGAAUCUUUGUAUACGUGCUUCUCUUCUCGAUCAACGACCUAUCGCCCUCUACCAUCACAUCGAUAUACUCGAACUCACCUGAAAUCCAAAGGCCACAAUCCGUCGGCGAUGAUCUGCCUCGAAUCGUAGCUGAUCCAAAACCCCCGGAUUUCUUCACUUCGCACCUUCAGCCAUGGAAGCUCUGCAAGCUUCCCUCCCACAAGUCCCUCACAUCCAAUUCGAACCCGACAGUGAUAAAAUCAAACGCAACCUCACCAAGAAAGGUGUCCACCCAACUCGCAAGAUCGUCCACACCGUCCGUAAAAAAGAAAUCCAAAAACACAACCGCAAGCUCAACCGCCUCACGGAGGCGGAUCCAUCUUAGCCGUUCUCGCAGACCCAAAAACAGGCCUUGGCGGCCGAAGAAACCCAUUUCCGAACUCUCAAGCGCGAGUUCAGGGACUUCACCAAAGCGGUCAAAGCGAAGAGUGGUUGCGAGGAAUUCAUGGUUGGAAGGCCUUGGGAGGGGUUUGAGAGAAUUGGGUUCCGAGAGCUCGCCAGUACUAGUGCGGAGUACGGCGGAGAGAAGCUGAAGAAGGAAGAGUCUUACAUUUGGGUUUUAGGUUGAGAUCGUGAGGUUAGUUCUGGGUUGGUUCUCUGAGAAAAGGGAAGAAGACUUCUCAGGUUCGAGUGAGAGAGGAGAGUUGUGAUAAAAAAAAAUUAAUAAAAAAAUAUUUGCCGCAGUAAUAGGCAUUCGCGGACUAAUCUUGUCCGCCUUUAGAAAGUGUUGUAGUUGUUAUUUUCUACUGUUAUUACUGAUAU
RNAcentral lists this small RNA (834 nucleotides) under Malus domestica (apple). Its description in RNAcentral is "sRNA MD03G0066200". Lineage: Eukaryota; Viridiplantae; Streptophyta; Magnoliopsida; Rosales; Rosaceae. The record is from RNAcentral.